This 409-nucleotide long non-coding RNA is filed under the name Dasypus novemcinctus (nine-banded armadillo). RNAcentral describes it as "lncRNA (ENSDNOG00000052049.1)". Lineage: Eukaryota; Metazoa; Chordata; Mammalia; Cingulata; Dasypodidae. The record is from RNAcentral.
CAAGAGUUUUUGAAAGACAGGCCAUCUCCUCUAGGAUUUUUGAAAUUUAGUUAUUGUGCAAAGGAAAUGAGGUGGGGAAACACUGCUCAAGAGAUUAGUAGUUCCCAUCUAUAUUUUUCUGCCUGCUGCCAAUGCACACACUGGAGUGAAAUGAUACACCCCACCUACCAGAGCCUCACUAGGGCUUCUUACCAGUUGGAAUCUAAGCUCUUGAAGGAGGAGGUGUGAGUCAAAUAUACUAGACAAAGUUCCUAGGUAAUUCUUUUUUUUUUAAGAUUUAUUUCUCUCCCCUUCCCCCCCACCCCGGUUGUCUGUUCUCUGUGUCUAUUUGCUGUGUCUUCUUUGUCCACUUCUGUUGUUGUCAGCUGCACUGGGAGUCUGUGUUUUCUUUUUGCCUCAUCAUCUUGUU